RNAcentral lists this ribosomal RNA (497 nucleotides) under uncultured bacterium. RNAcentral's name for it is "partial 16S ribosomal RNA". It matches the Rfam family "Bacterial small subunit ribosomal RNA", at positions 28 to 507 of the family's 1533-position model. The record is from RNAcentral.
GACGAACGCUGGCGGCGUGCCUAAUACAUGCAAGUUGAGCGCUGAAGGAUGGUACUUGUACCAACUGGAUGAGCAGCGAACGGGUGAGUAACGCGUGGGGAAUCUGCCUUUGAGCGGGGGACAACAUUGGGAAACGAAUGCUAAUACCGCAUAAAAACUUUAAACACAAGUUUUAAGUUUGAAAGAUGCAAUUGCAUCACUCAAAGAUGAUCCCGCGUUGUAUUAGCUAGUUGGUGAGGUAAAGGCUCACCAAGGCGAUGAUACAUAGCCGACCUGAGAGGGUGAUCGGCCACAUUGGGACUGAGACACGGCCCAAACUCCUACGGGAGGCAGCAGUAGGGAAUCUUCGGCAAUGGACGAAAGUCUGACCGAGCAACGCCGCGUGAGUGAAGAAGGUUUUCGGAUCGUAAAACUCUGUUGGUAGAGAAGAACGUUGGUGAGAGUGGAAAGCUCAUCAAGUGACGGUAACUACCCAGAAAGGGACGGCUAACUACGUG